Non-coding RNA from Acanthosepion pharaonis, 105 nucleotides. The record is from the annotation of a GenBank genome assembly. Lineage: Eukaryota; Metazoa; Mollusca; Cephalopoda; Sepiida; Sepiidae.
UGGCCACAUCACGUUGAAACACCGGUUCCUGUACAAUCACCGAAGUUAAGCAACGUCAAGGCUGGUUAGUACCUAGAUGGGUGACAGCUUCGGAAUACCAGCUGC